This 890-nucleotide ribosomal RNA is filed under the name Lactococcus lactis. Its description in RNAcentral is "bacterial SSU rRNA". It matches the Rfam family "Bacterial small subunit ribosomal RNA", at positions 57 to 928 of the family's 1533-position model. Lineage: Bacteria; Bacillati; Bacillota; Bacilli; Lactobacillales; Streptococcaceae. The record is from RNAcentral.
GCAGUUGAGCGCUGAAGGUUGGUACUUGUACCAACUGGAUGAGCAGCGAACGGGUGAGUAACGCGUGGGGAAUCUGCCUUUGAGCGGGGGACAACAUUUGGAAACGAAUGCUAAUACCGCAUAAAAACUUUAAACACAAGUUUUAAGUUUGAAAGAUGCAAUUGCAUCACUCAAAGAUGAUCCCGCGUUGUAUUAGCUAGUUGGUGAGGUAAAGGCUCACCAAGGCGAUGAUACAUAGCCGACCUGAGAGGGUGAUCGGCCACAUUGGGACUGAGACACGGCCCAAACUCCUACGGGAGGCAGCAGUAGGGAAUCUUCGGCAAUGGACGAAAGUCUGACCGAGCAACGCCGCGUGAGUGAAGAAGGUUUUCGGAUCGUAAAACUCUGUUGGUAGAGAAGAACGUUGGUGAGAGUGGAAAGCUCAUCAAGUGACGGUAACUACCCAGAAAGGGACGGCUAACUACGUGCCAGCAGCCGCGGUAAUACGUAGGUCCCGAGCGUUGUCCGGAUUUAUUGGGCGUAAAGCGAGCGCAGGUGGUUUAUUAAGUCUGGUGUAAAAGGCAGUGGCUCAACCAUUGUAUGCAUUGGAAACUGGUAGACUUGAGUGCAGGAGAGGAGAGUGGAAUUCCAUGUGUAGCGGUGAAAUGCGUAGAUAUAUGGAGGAACACCGGUGGCGAAAGCGGCUCUCUGGCCUGUAACUGACACUGAGGCUCGAAAGCGUGGGGGAGCAAACAGGAUUAGAUACCCUGGUAGUCCACGCCGUAAACGAUGAGUGCUAGAUGUAGGGAGCUAUAAGUUCUCUGUAUCGCAGCUAACGCAAUAAGCACUCCGCCUGGGGGAGUACGACCGCAAGGUUGAAACUCAAAGGAAUUGACGGGGGGCCCGCACAA